CAGGCGGGCAGUUUGACUGGGGCGGUCGCCUCCCAAAGAGUAACGGAGGCGCGCGAAGGUUGCCUCGGGGCGAAUGGAAACCGCCCUUUAAGAGCGCAAGCGUAUAAGGCAGCCUGACUGAGAGACCGACGGGUCGAUCAGGGACGAAAGUCGGUGCUAGUGAUCCGGCGGUGCAGAAUGGAAUGGCCGUCGCUCAACGGAUAAAAGCUACCCUGGGGAUAACAGGCUGAUCUUGCCCGAGAGUUCCCAUCGACGGCAAGGUUUGGCACCUCGAUGUCGGCUCGUCGCAUCCUGGGGCUGAAGCAGGUCCCAAGGGUUGGUCUGUUCGCCCAUUAAAGCGGUACGUGAGCUGGGUUUAGAACGUCGUGAGACAGUUCGGUCCCUAUCCACCACGGGCGUAGGGUAUUUGAGAAGAUCUGCUUCUAGUACGAGAGGACCGAAGUGGACGAACCGCUGGUGUACCGGUUGUGACGCCAGUUGCAUACGCCGGGUAGCUAUGUUCGGACCGGAUAACCGCUGAAGGCAUCUAAGCGGGAAGCCGUCUUCAAGAUAAGAUACCCCGUUUCGUAAGGAAGUAAGGCGUCCCGUAGACUACGGGUUUGAUAGGCCGGAGGUGUAAGCGCAGCGAUGCGUUGAGCUGACCGGUACUAAUACGCCGAGGCCUUUGUCUC
This 671-nucleotide ribosomal RNA is filed under the name Treponema sp. RNAcentral describes it as "partial 23S ribosomal RNA". It matches the Rfam family "Bacterial large subunit ribosomal RNA", at positions 2258 to 2925 of the family's 2925-position model. The record is from RNAcentral. Lineage: Bacteria; Pseudomonadati; Spirochaetota; Spirochaetia; Treponematales; Treponemataceae.